CUAGGAAUAUUGGACAAUGGGCGAAAGCCUGAUCCAGCAACACCGCGUGGAGGACGAAGGCCUUCGGGUCGUAAACUCCUUUUUGGGGGGAUGAGAAAGGACAGUACCCCCAGAAUAAGGCCCGGCUAACUACGUGCCAGCAGCCGCGGUAAUACGUAGGGGCCAAGCGUUAUCCGGAUUUACUGGGCGUAAAGCGCAUGUAGGCGGUCUGCUAAGUCGGACGUGAAAGCCCCUGGCUCAACUAGGGGAGGCUGUUCGAAACUAGUAGACUAGAGGGUGGUAGAGGAGAGCGGAAUUCCAGGUGUAGCGGUGAAAUGCGUAGAUAUCUGGAGGAACACCAGUGGCGAAAGCGGCUCUCUGGCCCACUCCUGACGCUGAGAUGCGAAAGCCAGGGGAGAGAAC
RNAcentral lists this ribosomal RNA (402 nucleotides) under uncultured bacterium. Its description in RNAcentral is "bacterial SSU rRNA". It matches the Rfam family "Bacterial small subunit ribosomal RNA", at positions 355 to 773 of the family's 1533-position model. The record is from RNAcentral.